This 268-nucleotide ribosomal RNA is filed under the name uncultured prokaryote. Its description in RNAcentral is "partial 16S ribosomal RNA". It matches the Rfam family "Bacterial small subunit ribosomal RNA", at positions 524 to 792 of the family's 1533-position model. The record is from RNAcentral.
UACGAAGGGUGCAAGCGUUAAUCGGAAUUACUGGGCGUAAAGCGCGCGUAGGUGGUUUCUUAAGUCAGAGGUGAAAGGCUACGGCUCAACCGUAGUAAGCCUUUGAAACUGGGAAACUUGAGUGCAGGAGAGGAGAGUGGAAUUCCUAGUGUAGCGGUGAAAUGCGCAGAUAUCAGGAGGAACACCGAUGGCGAAGGCAGGUCUCUGGGCCACUACUGACGCUGAGAAGCGAAAGCAUGGGGAGCGAACAGGAUUAGAUACCCCGGUA